This 475-nucleotide ribosomal RNA is filed under the name Pseudomonas aeruginosa. Its description in RNAcentral is "bacterial SSU rRNA". It matches the Rfam family "Bacterial small subunit ribosomal RNA", at positions 884 to 1366 of the family's 1533-position model. The record is from RNAcentral. Lineage: Bacteria; Pseudomonadati; Pseudomonadota; Gammaproteobacteria; Pseudomonadales; Pseudomonadaceae.
CGCCGCAAGGUUAAAACUCAAAUGAAUUGACGGGGGCCCGCACAAGCGGUGAGCAUGUGGUUUAAUUCGAAGCAACGCGAAGAACCUUCCUGGCCUUGACAUGCUGAGAACUUUCCAGAGAUGGAUUGGUGCUUCGGGAACUCAGACACAGGUGCUGCAUGGCUGUCGUCAGCUCGUGUCGUGAGAUGUUGGGUUAAGUCCCGUAACGAGCGCAACCCUUGUCCUUAGUUCCAGCACCUCGGGUGGGCACUCUAAGGAGACUGCCGGUGACAAACCGGAGGAAGGUGGGGAUGACGUCAAGUCAUCAUGCCCUUACGGCCAGGGCUACACACGUGCUACAAUGGUCGGUACAAAGGGUUCCAAGCCGCGAGGUGGAGCUAAUCCCAUAAAACCGAUCGUAGUCCGGAUCGCAGUCUGCAACUCGCUGCGUGAAGUCGGAAUCGCUAGUAAUCGUGAAUCAGAAUGUCACGGUGAA